AGUUUAUAGGUUUUUAGACCAAGAGAAUCCAUACUCAAAGAAUCAUGCAUAAGGACACUUCUCCACACUAGACCUGGUUUCAAUGACAAGGUCCUGGUCUUUGAGUUGAUGUCACAAUUAGAAGAGACUUUUGGAAUCUAGGUGAAGAGACAAGUGUAUUUUUCAAGUGGGAGGAAUUGAUGAUUUUCCUGAACGACAGGGGAGGAAACAAGAUGAGGAAUUGUGCAUGUUAACAGUAUCUACUGUCUUCAAUGUGAUGUCCUUAUAGAGGACCAGCCACAUCACACUCAGCAAAUCAAUUGUGAGAGCUCCACGAGGAAGGAAUUUACCACCAUGGGACUGCCAAUUACCCUUUCAAACCCCUGAUUGUUAAACGUUCUUCCUAACACUGAGCAGAGAGCUGCCCUUCUGCAGUGGCAAGAUUGCAUAGUGAUUAAGUGCAAGGGUUCAGAGGUUAUGCUAAGUUCUGGUCUUAGCUCCACCACUUCCAUGGAUUUGAAUCCCAUCCUUAUAGAGUAGAGGAUCGGAGCAUAUGGUGCAGAUUCAGACAAGGGCUUGCUCCAUGAGGCAAUCACUUACCCACACUUCCAAGUCACACCUACAUGGAUACUGAAAAGAUCCUCAGAGGUCUCACUCCCAUAAGGAGGCAAGAAAUGUCCGAGGUAUGUACAAGCCAAGGUGCCUCUGAAGAUGAUCACUUGAGCAGUAGCUUGGGCCAGAAAAAAUGGCCAAGACCCUGGAGACCAAUGAACUCAAGAGGACCCAGAAUGCAUCAAGGUGUUUGAUGAGUUGUGUUACAUUCAUACAGUUGAUGUUGUUAAUCUACACCAGGACUUUGUAUGUGUUCCUAAUAUAUGUCCUCUUGUUGAUUGGUCCCUCCUUCCAACCCAUGAUGUCUUGUUGAGUCUCUGUCAUUCAGUAUAGUCACAAUGGCUAACAUACUCAUUGUUGUGCACGACUCAAUUGAUCCAUGUUUCAUCAGGGUCUUCAAGAUAUUGAGAAGAAAAAAAAAUUGAAUGAGAAAGGGCCCUGUCAGACAUGUCACUUCAUUGUUUUGCAUUUUGUUUCAGUAUGUUAAUGGGAAUCCCUCCCUUCCUUGAAAUUUGUCCCUAACCAGAAUUACCAAAAAUCACCCCCUUCCCCUGUAAUGGCCCUCACACACAGCACCAGCUUUAAUAGAAGGAAAUAGCCAUUAAGCCACCAGAGUAUUUAGAUGUUCUCUCAAGAUUGGUUUAGCUGUUGUUCCAAUCAUAGCCACCCUUUGCCUUGCAGUCCCAUGGAUCAACUAAAGUUUAAGUUGCCUGAACAAGUUCCAUGCAAAUACAGCAGCAAACUGAGUAGACAAUAUUUCCUACUUUUUAUGCUAUACAUCCUCUAUGUUUGAUCUAAUCCCUUCCUUGAAGCUUCAGCAGUGGAAAAAAAGAUACUAAGGUGCAUACAAGGCUACUAAGUGCUUUGAGAGACAU
Molecule: long non-coding RNA, 1466 nt
Filed under: Equus asinus (donkey)
Lineage: Eukaryota; Metazoa; Chordata; Mammalia; Perissodactyla; Equidae
Description: lncRNA (ENSEASG00005026257.1)
Source: RNAcentral